AUUGAACGCUGGCGGCAUGCCUUACACAUGCAAGUCGAACGGUAACGGGCCUUCGGGUGCCGACGAGUGGCGAACGGGUGAGUAAUACAUCGGAACGUGCCCGAUCGUGGGGGAUAACGAGGCGAAAGCUUUGCUAAUACCGCAUACGAUCUACGGAUGAAAGCAGGGGACCGCAAGGCCUUGCGCGGACGGAGCGGCCGAUGGCAGAUUAGGUAGUUGGUGGGAUAAAAGCUUACCAAGCCGACGAUCUGUAGCUGGUCUGAGAGGAUGAUCAGCCACACUGGGACUGAGACACGGCCCAGACUCCUACGGGAGGCAGCAGUGGGGAAUUUUGGACAAUGGGCGCAAGCCUGAUCCAGCAAUGCCGCGUGCAGGAUGAAGGCCUUCGGGUUGUAAACUGCUUUUGUACGGAACGAAAAGCCUUCUUUUAAUACAGGAGGGUCAUGACGGUACCGUAAGAAGAAGCACCGGCUAACUACGUG
This 482-nucleotide ribosomal RNA is filed under the name uncultured bacterium. RNAcentral describes it as "partial 16S ribosomal RNA". It matches the Rfam family "Bacterial small subunit ribosomal RNA", at positions 30 to 507 of the family's 1533-position model. The record is from RNAcentral.